UGAGGAAUAUUGGUCAAUGGGCGAGAGCCUGAACCAGCCAAGUCGCGUGAAGGAAGAAGGUUCUAUGGAUUGUAAACUUCUUUUGUAAGGGAAUAAAAAGAGUUACGUGUAACUUAUUGUAUGUACUUUACGAAUAAGGAUCGGCUAACUCCGUGCCAGCAGCCGCGGUAAUACGGAGGAUCCAAGCGUUAUCCGGAUUUAUUGGGUUUAAAGGGUGCGUAGGCGGGCCCUUAAGUCAGUGGUGAAAGUUUGCAGCUUAACUGUAAAAUUGCCAUUGAAACUGAGGGUCUUGAGUGUAAAUAAGGUAGGCGGAAUGUGUUGUGUAGCGGUGAAAUGCUUAGAUAUAACACAGAACACCAAUUGCGAAGGCAGCUUACUGGGAUACAACUGACGCUGAGGCACGAAAGCGUGGGGAUCAAACA
RNAcentral lists this ribosomal RNA (422 nucleotides) under uncultured bacterium. Its description in RNAcentral is "bacterial SSU rRNA". It matches the Rfam family "Bacterial small subunit ribosomal RNA", at positions 355 to 774 of the family's 1533-position model. RNAcentral also lists the same sequence under 1 other name. The record is from RNAcentral.